Molecule: long non-coding RNA, 212 nt
Filed under: Elaeis guineensis (African oil palm)
Lineage: Eukaryota; Viridiplantae; Streptophyta; Magnoliopsida; Arecales; Arecaceae
Description: long non-coding RNA (EGUI_LNC080435)
Source: RNAcentral
AUCGAAGGAUCUUAAUACUCUUUUCAAUUUAUUUCUCUACUUCAGCACGGAAUUAUUUGAACAUUUUAAAUGAUUCUGACUUAUGCUUCAUAAGAUAGACAUACUCAUACCUCGAUAGAUCAUCUGUAAACAUAAUGAAGUAGUAGAAUCAAUUGAAAAAUAUGUCCCAAAAGCUAAUCGUCAGCCUGUUGACGGUUGAACAACUUUAUAUU